This 549-nucleotide ribosomal RNA is filed under the name uncultured bacterium. RNAcentral describes it as "partial 16S ribosomal RNA". It matches the Rfam family "Bacterial small subunit ribosomal RNA", at positions 355 to 895 of the family's 1533-position model. The record is from RNAcentral.
UGGGGAAUAUUGCACAAUGGGCGCAAGCCUGAUGCAGCCAUGCCGCGUGUGUGAAGAAGGCCUUCGGGUUGUAAAGCACUUUCAGCGAGGAGGAAGGUGGUGAACUUAAUACGUUCAUCAAUUGACGUUACUCGCAGAAGAAGCACCGGCUAACUCCGUGCCAGCAGCCGCGGUAAUACGGAGGGUGCAAGCGUAAUCGGAAUUACUGGGCGUAAAGCGCACGCAGGCGGUUUGUUAAGUCAGAUGUGAAAUCCCCGGGCUCAACCUGGGAACUGCAUUUGAAACUGGCAAGCUAGAGUCUCGUAGAGGGGGGUAGAAUUCCAGGUGUAGCGGUGAAAUGCGGUAGAGAUCUGGAGGAAUACCGGUGGCGAAGGCGGCCCCCUGGACGAAGACUGACGCUCAGGUGCGAAAGCGUGGGGAGCAAACAGGAUUAGAUACCCUGGUAGUCCACGCUGUAAACGAUGUCGAUUUUGGAGGUUGUGCCCUUGAGGCGUGGCCUCCGGAGCUAACGCGUUAAAUCGACCGCCUGGGGAGUACGGCCGCAAGGUU